CGAAGAANAGCAAUACUUAGUGGCAGACGGGUGAGUAACAUGUGCGUAUCUGCCCUUUGGCCUGGAAUAACACGAGGAAACAUGUGCUAAUACCGGAUAAGUCUUUACGGAGAAAGCUUUAUGCACCAUUGGAUGAGCCCGCACUUGAUUAGUUAGUUGGUAGGGUAAUGGCCUACCAAGACUGUGAUCAAUAGCUGAUUUGAGAGGAUGAUCAGCCACAUUGGGACUGAGACACGGCCCAAACUCCUACGGGAGGCAGCAGUGGGGAAUCUUGCACAAUGGAGGAAACUCUGAUGCAGCGAUGCCGCGUGAGUGAAGAAGGCCUUUGGGUUGUAAAGCUCUUUCGUCGGGGAAGAAAAUGACUGUACCCGAAUAAGAAGGUCCGGCUAACUUCGUGCCAGCAGCCGCGGUAAUACGAAGGGACCUAGCGUAGUUCGGAAUUACUGGGCUUAAAGAGUUCGUAGGUGGUUGAAAAAGUUGGUGGUGAAAUCCCAGAGCUUAACUCUGGAACUGCCAUCAAAACUUUUCAGCUAGAGUAUGAUAGAGGAAAGCAGAAUUUCUAGUGUAGAGGUGAAAUUCGUAGAUAUUAGAAAGAAUACCGAUUGCGAAGGCAGCUUUCUGGAUCAUUACUGACACUGAGGAACGAAAGCAUGGGUAGCGAAGAGGAUUAGAUACCCUCGUAGUCCAUGCCGUAAACGAUGUGUGUUAGACGUUGGAAAUUUAUUUUCAGUGUCGCAGCGAAAGCGAUAAACACACCGCCUGGGGAGUACGACCGCAAGGUUAAAACUCAAAUGAAUUGACGGGGACCCGCACAAGUAGUGGAGCA
RNAcentral lists this ribosomal RNA (826 nucleotides) under uncultured Alphaproteobacteria bacterium. RNAcentral's name for it is "bacterial SSU rRNA". It matches the Rfam family "Bacterial small subunit ribosomal RNA", at positions 76 to 939 of the family's 1533-position model. The record is from RNAcentral. Lineage: Bacteria; Pseudomonadati; Pseudomonadota; Alphaproteobacteria.